This 447-nucleotide ribosomal RNA is filed under the name uncultured bacterium. RNAcentral's name for it is "partial 16S ribosomal RNA". It matches the Rfam family "Bacterial small subunit ribosomal RNA", at positions 338 to 795 of the family's 1533-position model. The record is from RNAcentral.
CCUACGGGUGGCAGCAGUCGAGAAUCAUUCACAAUGGGGGAAACCCUGAUGGUGCGACGCCGCGUGGGGGAAUGAAGGUCUUCGGAUUGUAAACCCCUGUCAUGUGGGAGCAAAUUAAAAAGAUAGUACCACAAGAGGAAGAGACGGCUAACUCUGUGCCAGCAGCCGCGGUAAUACAGAGGUCUCAAGCGUUGUUCGGAAUCACUGGGCGUAAGGCGUGCGUAGGCUGUUUCGUAAGUCGUGUGUGAAAGGCGCGGGCUCAACCCGCGGACGGCACAUGAUACUGCGAGACUAGAGUAAUGGAGGGGGAACGGGAAUUCUCGGUGUAGCAGUGAAAUGGGUAGAUAUCGAGAGGAACACUCGUGGCGAAGGCGGGUUCCUGGACAUUAACUGACGCUGAGGCACGAAGGCCAGGGGAGCGAAAGGGAUUAGAUACCCCUAGUAGUC